GUGACCCCAGGUCAGGCAGGAUCAACCGCUGAGUUUAAGCAUAUCAAUAAGCAGAGGAAAGGAAACUUACAAGGAUUUUCCUAGUAACUGUGAUCGAAUCGGGAAAAGCCCAACUUGAGAAUCGGACGGCCCCACAAUUCAAAUCGUACUCUGAAGAAGCAUUCUCAAUGGCGGACCAAGCUCAAGUCCCUUAAAAGGGACGCCAGAGAGGGUGAGAGCCCCAUUAUGCUCAGACCCUGACAUACCAUGAGGUAUUGUCGAUGAGUUCGAUUGUUUGGGAAUGUAGGCCCAAUUGGGCGAUAAAUUCCAUCCAAGGUUAAAUAUGGGUGAGAGAUCGAUAGUGAGCAAACACGACUAGGGAAAGAUAAAAAGAGCUUUGAAAAAAGAGUUAAAGAGUGCUUGAAAUUGUCGAGAGGAAAGCUGAUGGGGGUUGGCGAUGCAUUCCAAUCGGAUGUGAAAGGGCGACGAACCGGUUCGUCAUUCGACUUAGGGCACGGACCAGCACGAAUUGAGGUGGCAGUCAAAGCUUGUGCAGUCAACAUGCCCGAUUGUGGUGAACAACAUGUACCCUCGACGUGCCUCAGUACCUGCGCACUCCCGAUGCUAGCCUACAGGUUACCCAUUUAACCCAUCUUGAAACAUGGACCAAGGAGUCUAACAUGUGUGCCGGUCAAUGGGCGAGUAAACUCGUAAGGGGCAAGGAAGCUGAUUGAUGUGAUCACCACAAGGGGUGCAACGCCAACCGACCUUGAUCUUCUGAGAAGGGUUUGAGUGCGAGCAUACCUGUCGGGACCCGAAAGACAGUGACCUAUGCCUGAGCGAGGUGAAGCUAGAGGAAACUCUAGUAGAGGCCCUCAAUGAUACUGAUGUGUAAAUCAUUUAGCUGACUUAGGGAUAGGGGUGAAAGAGUAAUUGAACCAUCUAGAAGUUGGUUCUCUCUGAAGUUUUCCUCAGGAUAACUGGAGCUCAAGCGUGAGUUCUAUCGGGUAAAGCUAAUGAUUAGAGGCAUCAGGGACGCAACACCCUCGAGCUAUUCUCAAACUUUAAAUAGGUAGGACAAUCCGGUUGCUUCGUUGAGUUGUGCAGUGAAAUUGAGAGCUCUAAGUAGGCCAUUUUUGGUAAGCAGAACUGGCGAUGCGGGAUGAAUCGAAAGUCGGAUUAUGGUUACCAACUACAUGCUAACCUAGACCCCAUAAAGGGUAUUGGUCGAUUGAGAUAGCAGGACGGUGGUCAUGGAAGUUGAAAUUUGCUAAGGAGUGUGUAACAACUCACCUGUCGAAUCAACUAGCCUCGAAACGCGUGACAUAUACCCGACCGUCAGGGCAAGCUCUAGGCCUUGAUGAGUAGGAAGGCAUGGUGGUAGCUACAAAACCUUGGGCGAGAGCCUAGGCAUGAGUGGUCAUCAGUGCGGACUUGGUGUAAUAGUAAAUAUUCAAAUGGGAACUUUGAAGGCCGAAGAGGGGAAGGGUUCCUGUGAACGACACUUGCAUACGGGUUAUCAAUCCUAAGGGUUGGGGAAGCCCAACAGAUAGCUCGUUUCCCGCGUGUACCAAAAGGAAAUUUGGUUGAAAUUCCUGAAUCGAGAUGCGACGAUUGACAACAAUGUUAGGGAGUCUGAAGACGUCGUCGGGGGCCUCGAGAAGAGUUAUCUUUUUUGUUUAACAGCUGUCUACCCUGGAAAUGGCUCAACUAGAGGUAGAGUCCAGCGGUCAAAAGAGUACCGCACGUUUCGUGGUGUCCAUUACGACCCCGAUGACCCUUGAAAAUCCAGAGGACCUAGUACUGUCCACGCCCGAUCAUACUUAUAACCGCAUCAGGUCUCCAAGGCGAACAAACCUCUGGUUAAUGAACAAACCUCUGGUUAAUGGAACAAUGUAGGCAAGGAAAGUCGACAAAAUGGAGCCAUAACUUUGGGAAAAGGAUUGUGUCUGAGGGCUGGGUACGGGGUCCCAGUCCCGAAUGCAAUGUGAUUUCUGCCUAGUGCUCUUAAUGUCAAAGAGAAGAAAUUCAACCAAGUGCGGGUAAAUGGACGGAAGUAACUAUGACUCUCUUAAGAUAUCCAAAUGUCUCAUCAUCUAAUUAGUGAUGCGCAUGAAUGGAUUAUCAAGAUUCCCACUGUCCAUGUCUACUAUUCCGCAAAACCAUAGUCAAAAGAAUGGGCUUGGUAGAAUCAGCGAUGAAAAAAGACCCUGUUGAGCUUGACUCUAGUCUGACUUUGUGAAAUGACUUGAGAGAUGUAGGAUAAGUGGGAUCCGAAAGGUGAAAGUGAAAUACCACUACUUUUAACGUUAUUUUAUCGUGUAUCGGAGGUAGGGCACUGCCUCUCUUUUUGGACCCAAGGCCCGCUUUGCGGGUCCAUUCGAGAGGAAGACAUUGUUAGGUGGGGAGUUUGGUUAGGGUAGCACAUCUGUUAAAAGAUAAACUAGGUGUCCUAAGAUGAGCUCAACGAGAAUAAAAAUCUCGUGUAGAACAGAAGGGUAAAAGCUCAUUUGAUUGUAAUUUCCAGGAAGAAUAAAGCAUGGCCUAACGAUCCUUUAGACCUUCAAAAUUUAAAGCUAGAGGUGUCAGAAAAAUUACUCCAGGGAUAACUGGCUUAUGGCAACCAAGCGUUCAUAGCGACGCUGCUUUUUGAUCCUUCGAUAUCGGCUCUUCCUAUCAUUGUGAAGCAGAAUUCACCAAGUGUUAGAUUGUUCACCUAACAAUAGGGAAUGUGAGCUGGGUUCAGACCAUCGUGAGAUAGGUUCGUUUUACCAUACUGAUGAUAGUGUCGUAAUAAUUCAACCUAGUACGAGAGGAACCAUUGAUUCGCAUAAUUGGUCAUCGCGCUUGGUUGAAAAGCCAAUGGCACAAAGCUACCAUGCACUGGAUUAUGACUUAAUGCCUCUAAGUCAUAAUUCAGGCUAGAAGCAAUGCAUGCACCCACCAUCUGCUUGCUGACUCGUAAUAGGGGCCUUACGGCCUCAGGGGUACAUGUUGGCCAAGCCCUCGCAGCGGACGUACUGCAUUAGUCGCCUUGAAGUACAAUUUCCAUCGACCGAUGGGUAGAAUCCUUUGUAGACGACUUAAAUAUGUGACAGGGUAUUGUGAGCAGCAGAGUGGCCUUACUGUCAUGAUCCGCUGAGAUUC
Molecule: ribosomal RNA, 3126 nt
Filed under: Olea europaea var. sylvestris
Lineage: Eukaryota; Viridiplantae; Streptophyta; Magnoliopsida; Lamiales; Oleaceae
Description: eukaryotic LSU rRNA
Rfam family: Eukaryotic large subunit ribosomal RNA
Source: RNAcentral